GGCACGCCUAACACAUGCAAGUCGAACGAAGUAGCAAUACUUAGUGGCAGACGGGUGAGUAACAUGUAGGUAUCUGCCCUUUGGCCUGGAAUAACACGAGGAAACUUGUGCUAAUACCGGAUAAGUCUUUACGGAGAAAGCUUUAUGCACCAUUGGAUGAGCCUGCACUUGAUUAGUUUGUUGGUGGGGUAAUGUCCUACCAAGACUGUGAUCAAUAGCUGAUUUGAGAGGAUGAUCAGCCACAUUGGGACUGAGACACGGCCCAAACUCCUACGGGAGGCAGCAGUGGGGAAUCUUGCACAAUGGAGGAAACUCUGAUGCAGCGAUGCCGCGUGAGUGAAGAAGGCCUUUGGGUUGUAAAGCUCUUUCGUCGGGGAAGAAAAUGACUGUACCCGAAUAAGAAGG
This 405-nucleotide ribosomal RNA is filed under the name uncultured bacterium. RNAcentral's name for it is "bacterial SSU rRNA". It matches the Rfam family "Bacterial small subunit ribosomal RNA", at positions 41 to 491 of the family's 1533-position model. The record is from RNAcentral.